This 261-nucleotide long non-coding RNA is filed under the name Brassica napus (rape). RNAcentral describes it as "long non-coding RNA (BNAP_LNC022585)". The record is from RNAcentral. Lineage: Eukaryota; Viridiplantae; Streptophyta; Magnoliopsida; Brassicales; Brassicaceae.
UAGACUCUCCCUUGCACUUGAUCUUGUACUCAAUCACUCCAUCUUUGAUCUUCAUUGGAUAAAGAGUGAGAAUGUGUGAAGAUUUCUCAAUAGGAGUGGGAUGAGGUUCUUUGAUCAUCUUCUUCUUGUCAUGAGUAGCCUUUGUGGCUCUACCCACCUCCUCUAUUUUAGCACUUUUCAAAUGCUCAUCACACAUCUCAUGAGAUGACUCUCCAUCAAGAAUUUGUUUUUCACUAGCUAUCACUUCAUCUUUGAUCUUCU